This 1811-nucleotide long non-coding RNA is filed under the name Suricata suricatta (meerkat). Its description in RNAcentral is "lncRNA (ENSSSUG00005014365.1)". Lineage: Eukaryota; Metazoa; Chordata; Mammalia; Carnivora; Herpestidae. The record is from RNAcentral.
CCCCAAAGCUGCUGCUGCUCAGAGGUGACACCCCCUCUUGGUGUGGGACUCAGGGUCCAGCCUGGAGUCUGACAGCUGCAACUCCAGGAAGGGGUUGAGACAGGAGAGCCCGGCCCCAGCUUCCUCUGGGCGGGGCACCCACACCACAAGUUCUUAGGCCACCGGGGCAGUGGCCCCAGAUGCCAGCUUGCCCGAAGGGAGCCUGACGCUAGGAGGUGAGCCAAGCGGGAGGGAGCCCCAUCCUAUCCCGGCCGCGGGAGCCCAGGCGGGGGCGGCCAGGGAGGGCCGGCCGGGAGGUAGGAGCCUGAGCCCAGGGCCCCGGGGCCCCCCACACGUGCUAUUUCCAGGAGCCAUGGGAGGCAUCCAGCUUGCUCUGCUGCUCUUCCUGCUGGGCUGGGAGCGAGGUGAGCGUGGGGGCGCCGGGCAGGGCCUGUGCUGGGGUGGGUGGCCAUGCCCCCGGGAGAGGCUGUGGGGUUUUGUGCCUGUGAGGGGCUGUCCUCCAGGACCUCCCCCCAGGGGGUCUAAGCCCAGCCUUCCUGCUCCCUCCUGCCUCUGCCCAGGCCUCAGCCUGCAGUGCUACAACUGUACUAAGAACAUGGAUAGAGCCAAAGGGUGCCAGCCCGCCCAGUGUGCCACAUCUGACAGCAUCUGCGUCAGGGUUAAGUUGACCAUGGCCUUUAGCAAUGGAACCAGAAACCACGAGCAGUACAAGGGCUGCGUACCCUCCUGUGCGGAGAUCAAACAAGAAAUGAGCCUGAUCUCCGGGCAUAUCAUUCCGGAGACCGAGAACGAGCCCGUCGCCAUGAUGUAUAUAGUGAAGGAGGUGACUUGCUGUGAAGAGGACCUGUGUAACGGGGGACCCCGGCCCAGGCGCAGCCCCUGGGCCCUGGCGGCGGGGCUCCUGCUCAGCCUCGGGCCCGCCUGCCUCUGGGCCCUGCUGUGAGCGCCCGGCUGGCCACGCAAACCAGGGAACCACGCGGGGUGCUUCAUGCCGCGGGUCCUGGAGCAAGCGCGCGGGUACACCUGCGCAUGCGUACAUAUGCACCCGCACGCACACUCACACACGCGCGCGCGCGUGCACAUUUGCACCAGUUCGCACGCGCACAGAUGCACGCACACAUUCACACGUGCACAGGCUCUCCUGCACCCCCCACCCCCACCAGCCUGCCCCGUUUUGCAAACACCAUCAGUUGACCACUGACCCAGGACGCAGGGGCCGCUAGUCCCGACAGCGCCGCCCGGGGUCCCUCCAACGGGGUGCCAACGACGGAGGGAGAAUAAACGCUUUCUACACCCCGGUGUUCUUCGCUUGCCAUUGGACCCGGCAGGGCAGGGCGGGGGCUGGUGUGGCCUGCCCGGGAGGGGGCUCAACUUCCGCGUGGUUCUCCCUGAGCCGGGCGAGCCCCUGUGGCCCGAGGGACUAUGACCGGGGUCAGCUCUGCGCGGCCGGGACCCUCCCCGGGGGCAUCCGCCCAGGGCGUCCGGUGGCCUAUUCAUGGGAGCGGGGUGAGCACCCUCCGCAGAGGCAGGGGCAGGUUGGGGAGGGGGGCCUGGGCCGGGUCCUCCCUCCUCACCCCAGCAGCCACACACCCUGAUGAGGGCGUGUAUGCGGGCAGGGCUGCUCUGCGGGCAGAGGAGUUAGAAGAACCAGGGCUGGUGGGCCCGUCUCCAGCCCGCUGAUGUCGCCACGCUGUCCCCGGGUGACCUGGGGCCCACUUCCCUGGCCUGCCCCGGGGACCUCUCUCUGGCGACCGGGGCCCUGGGCGCACGCUGGGUCCCCUGCCCCUGCGGCAGCCACGGCCAGAGCCGCU